AUUGGACAAUGGGGGCAACCCUGAUCCAGCCAUGCCGCGUGAGUGAUGAAGGCCUUAGGGUUGUAAAGCUCUUUCACCGGUGACGAUGAUGACGGUAACCGGAGAAGAAGCCCCGGCUAACUUCGUGCCAGCAGCCGCGGUAAUACGAAGGGGGCGAGCGUUGUUCGGAAUGACUGGGCGUAAAGCGCACGUAGGCGGCUCGUUUAGUCAGAGGUGAAAUCCCGGGGCUUAACCUCGGAACUGCCUUUGAUACUGGCGGGCUUGAGGCCGAAAGAGGGUGACGGAAUACCCUGUGUAGAGGUGAAGUUCGUAGAUAGUGGGUAGAACACCGGUGGCGAAGGCGGUCGCCUGGUCCGGUACUGAC
RNAcentral lists this ribosomal RNA (364 nucleotides) under uncultured bacterium. RNAcentral's name for it is "bacterial SSU rRNA". It matches the Rfam family "Bacterial small subunit ribosomal RNA", at positions 363 to 744 of the family's 1533-position model. The record is from RNAcentral.